RNAcentral lists this ribosomal RNA (691 nucleotides) under Flavobacterium psychrophilum. Its description in RNAcentral is "bacterial SSU rRNA". It matches the Rfam family "Bacterial small subunit ribosomal RNA", at positions 60 to 752 of the family's 1533-position model. The record is from RNAcentral. Lineage: Bacteria; Pseudomonadati; Bacteroidota; Flavobacteriia; Flavobacteriales; Flavobacteriaceae.
AGUCGAGGGGUAGAAUAGCAAUAUUUGAGACCGGCGCACGGGUGCGUAACGCGUAUGCAAUCUACCUUUUACAGAGGGAUAGCCCAGAGAAAUUUGGAUUAAUACCUCAUAGUAUAGUGAGUUGGCAUCAACACACUAUUAAAGUCACAACGGUAAAAGAUGAGCAUGCGUCCCAUUAGCUAGUUGGUAAGGUAACGGCUUACCAAGGCAACGAUGGGUAGGGGUCCUGAGAGGGAGAUCCCCCACACUGGUACUGAGACACGGACCAGACUCCUACGGGAGGCAGCAGUGAGGAAUAUUGGUCAAUGGGCGCAAGCCUGAACCAGCCAUGCCGCGUGCAGGAUGACGGUCCUAUGGAUUGUAAACUGCUUUUGCACAGGAAGAAACACUCGGUCGUGACCGAGCUUGACGGUACUGUGAGAAUAAGGAUCGGCUAACUCCGUGCCAGCAGCCGCGGUAAUACGGAGGAUCCAAGCGUUAUCCGGAAUCAUUGGGUUUAAAGGGUCCGUAGGCGGCCAGAUAAGUCAGUGGUGAAAGCCCAUCGCUCAACGAUGGAACGGCCAUUGAUACUGUUUGGCUUGAAUUAUUUGGAAGUAACUAGAAUAUGUAGUGUAGCGGUGAAAUGCUUAGAGAUUACAUGGGAAUACCAAUUGCGAAAGGCAGGUUACUACAAAUUGAUUGACGCUGAUGG